This 253-nucleotide ribosomal RNA is filed under the name uncultured bacterium. RNAcentral describes it as "partial 16S ribosomal RNA". It matches the Rfam family "Bacterial small subunit ribosomal RNA", at positions 524 to 776 of the family's 1533-position model. The record is from RNAcentral.
UACGUAGGGGGCAAGCGUUGUCCGGAAUCAUUGGGCGUAAAGCGCGUGUAGGCGGCCCGGUAAGUCCGCUGUGAAAGUCAAGGGCUCAACCCUUGGAUGCCGGUGGAUACUGUCGGGCUAGAGUGCGGGAGAGGCGAGUGGAAUUCCUGGUGUAGCGGUGAAAUGCGCAGAUAUCAGGAGGAACACCAAUAGCGAAGGCAGCUCGCUGGGACGUUACUGACACUGAGGCGCGAAAGCGUGGGGAGCGAACAGG